RNAcentral lists this long non-coding RNA (1648 nucleotides) under Solanum tuberosum (potato). Its description in RNAcentral is "long non-coding RNA (STUB_LNC000252)". Lineage: Eukaryota; Viridiplantae; Streptophyta; Magnoliopsida; Solanales; Solanaceae. The record is from RNAcentral.
UGACUAAAAUAUUUGAAUGAGCAUAGGAGUUGAUAAAAUGAAUUAUUUUUAAAGAAAACUAACACAAAGAAUAUGGUUUAUCUUUUGGGGAAUUUAAUUAAAUUAAGUCGCAAUUUGAAAGAAAACAAAUAAAUAAAUGGUCACACAAUUAAAUAAAUUAGAAAUUGAAUUUGGGCCUCUUUUUUGGGCCAAAUUCGCUGCACUUUCUGGGGAUUUUACUCAAUCCCGUUUUUGUAUACACUGACUGUAUAUCAGUGUAUAUCGGCAUGUAUAUCAGCUCUUUUCAUGUAUCUCUUGCUUCCGAACACCUGUAUUUCGCCUCAGCCCUGUAUUUCCAUAUUUUUUGACUUGUAUAUUGACGUAUAUCUGCUGUAUAUCGUUGUAUAUUUGCCUUUUUUCCACCUGCGUUUUUGGCUUCCAAGAGCCCUAUCUCAACUUCCAAACUUUGUAUUAAGGCUGACUCGAGAAAACGGAGAUGUUUGGUGUCGGUCCGACUCGAAAAAUGCACGUAAAGGAGUCCACCUUGGACUCAAAUACACAUCACAUGUAAAUAAAAGGGAUAAAGAUUAAUAAACUCACAAAUUCUCUAUUAAAUUAAACACAAAGUAACAGUAGAGAGCUUAGGACCUAAAUAAUUAUGAAUUAUGUAGAUCAAGGGACAUACAUCACUUAAAGGGAGGAUUAAAGAAGAAAACAAAAAAAAAGAAUAAUCAAAGAGAUAUUCCCAUAAUUAUCACUAGCAUGAGACUUAAUUGUGAACAAGAGAUAAAUCUCCUAAACAUGAUCAACACUUAAAACAUACACAUGUGAACAUUAACCGGAAGUAAACUUCAAGGGAAAACAAAAUAAUGAAACACGAUUGAAGAAAGCGAAGAUUAAAAAAAAUAUUAUCUAAUUCUUAAACAACUACUACAAAACAAACUUUAAUGAUAUAAUUUCAUCAAAGGCAGCAAAUAAAGUUUUUGCUGAUUUGAAAGCAAAUACCAACUUUCUUAAAUAACUAGAAGUAAAGCACAAAACCCAACAUAUUUUCCUAGUCAAAUCCUUCAUUUCUAAACAGCAAGGAAUACAAAAUAACAAAGCAAUAAUUUUCACACUUUUUCAUUAAGUUUUUUCCAUAGACAAUGCCUAAAUCGCAUAAGUAAAAUGACUUUAUAUCUUAAUACCUAAGCUAUCACAGCAGCUAAAAUAUUGAACAACACUCUAGUAAUAGCUCAAAAUAUACGAAAAGGCUGUCAACUAAGGACAGAACCAACACAGUUUUGUUAACAAUCUUCACAUAGAGUAUCGAACACACAAAAUAUGCUACAUUGAAACGGAAUAUAAAAAAAAGCGAUGAUACUAACUACAAAACGGUAAAAUUUGUAGUCCGACAGUUAGACUGAGCCACAACAUCCCCCAAGAACAUAUGUAUCACAUUUUUAUCACCAACCAAGUAGCAUCUAACGACAAACAACCAUAGAAUAAAGACUUUCCGAUAUCAAAAACGUCACAUUGAACUAGGAAAGUAGAUAAAAAAAAAUGUUAUCGAGAGAGGAGCGUUUACCUUUCUCCGGGCAGCAACUAGGACAGCAACGAGCAGAAUGGUCUUUCACCACACGAAAUCUGAACACGAACAAUAGCUGCAAGAAUAUCAACUCCAAAACAC